AACGUAGGUACCGAGCGUUAUCCGGAUUUACUGGGCGUAAAGCGCGUUCAGGCGGUUUGGCAAGUCGGACAUGAAAUCUCUCGGCUCAACCGGGAGAGGUUGUCCGAUACUGCUGGACUUGAGGGCAGUAGAGGGUGGUGGAAUUCCGGGUGUAGUGGUGAAAUGCGUAGAUAUCCGGAGGAACACCGGUGGCGAAGGCGGGUCUCUGGGGCAGUAACUGACGCUGAGGAGCGAAAGCUAGGGGAGCAAACGGG
Molecule: ribosomal RNA, 254 nt
Filed under: uncultured bacterium
Lineage: Bacteria
Description: partial 16S ribosomal RNA
Rfam family: Bacterial small subunit ribosomal RNA
Source: RNAcentral